RNAcentral lists this ribosomal RNA (496 nucleotides) under uncultured bacterium. RNAcentral describes it as "partial 16S ribosomal RNA". It matches the Rfam family "Bacterial small subunit ribosomal RNA", at positions 28 to 506 of the family's 1533-position model. The record is from RNAcentral.
GAUGAACGCUGGCGGCGUGCCUAAUACAUGCAAGUCGAGCGAACGGACGAGAAGCUUGCUUCUCUGAUGUUAGCGGCGGACGGGUGAGUAACACGUGGAUAACCUACCUAUAAGACUGGGAUAACUUCGGGAAACCGGAGCUAAUACCGGAUAAUAUUUUGAACCGCAUGGUUCAAAAGUGAAAGACGGUCUUGCUGUCACUUAUAGAUGGAUCCGCGCUGCAUUAGCUAGUUGGUAAGGUAGCGGCUUACCAAGGCAACGAUGCAUAGCCGACCUGAGAGGGUGAUCGGCCACACUGGAACUGAGACACGGUCCAGACUCCUACGGGAGGCAGCAGUAGGGAAUCUUCCGCAAUGGGCGAAAGCCUGACGGAGCAACGCCGCGUGAGUGAUGAAGGUCUUCGGAUCGUAAAACUCUGUUAUUAGGGAAGAACAUAUGUGUAAGUAACUGUGCACAUCUUGACGGUACCUAAGCAGAAAGCCACGGCUAACUACGU